AUUGAACGCUGGCGGCAGGCCUAACACAUGCAAGUCGAACGAGUGGCGGACGGGUGAGUAAUGUCUGGGAAACUGCCCGAUGGAGGGGGAUAACUACUAGAAACGGUAGCUAAUACCGCAUACCAUCGGAUGUGCCCAGAUGGGAUUAGCUAGUAGGUGGGGUAAAGGCUCACCUAGGCGACAAUCCCUAGCUGGGCUGCGAGGAUGACCAGCCAAAAGGGAACUGAGACACGGUCCAGACUCCUACGGGAGGCAGCAGGGGGGAAUAUUGCACAAUGGGCGCAAGCCUGAUGCAGCCAAGCCGCGGUUAUGAAGAAGGCCUUCGGGUUGUAAAGUACUUGCAGUGGGGAGGCGUUACCCGCAGAAGAAGGACCGGCUAACUCAGUGCCAGCAGCCGCGGUAAUAC
This 406-nucleotide ribosomal RNA is filed under the name uncultured bacterium. RNAcentral's name for it is "partial 16S ribosomal RNA". It matches the Rfam family "Bacterial small subunit ribosomal RNA", at positions 29 to 526 of the family's 1533-position model. The record is from RNAcentral.